UACGAAGGUCGCAAGCGUUAUCCGGAUUUAUUGGGCUUAAAGGGUGCGUAGGCGGGUUAUUAAGUCAGUGGUGAAAGCUCCCGGCUCAACCGGGAAAUUGCCAUUGAUACUGAUGAUCUUGAGUGUGGUUGAGGUGGGCGGAAUGUGUCAUGUAGCGGUGAAAUGCUUAGAUAUGACACAGAACACCGAUUGCGAAGGCAGCUCACUAAGCCACAACUGACGCUGAUGCACGAAAGCGUGGGGAGCAAACAGG
RNAcentral lists this ribosomal RNA (253 nucleotides) under uncultured bacterium. RNAcentral's name for it is "partial 16S ribosomal RNA". It matches the Rfam family "Bacterial small subunit ribosomal RNA", at positions 524 to 776 of the family's 1533-position model. The record is from RNAcentral.